ACAUCCUGGGGCUGGAGAAGGUCCCAAGGGUUGGGCUGUUCGCCCAUGAAAGCGGUACGCGAGCUGGGUUCAGAACGUCGUGAGACAGUUCGGUCCAUAUCCGGUGCAGGCGUUAGAGUAUUGAGAGGAGUCCCCCUUAGUACGAGAGGACCGGGGGGAAUACACCGCUGGUGUACCAGUUAUCGUGCCAACGGUAAACGCUGGGUAGCCAAGUGUAGAGUGGAUAACUGCUGAAAGCAUCUAAGUAGGAAGCCCAUCUCAAGAUGAAUACUCUCACCGUUUUAAACGGUUAAGAUCACGGGAAGAACACCCGUUAUAUAGGCACUAAGUGUAAGUACAGUAAUGUAUUCAGCUGAGGUGUACUAACAGAUCGA
This 374-nucleotide ribosomal RNA is filed under the name Hemiselmis andersenii. RNAcentral's name for it is "partial Bacterial large subunit ribosomal RNA". It matches the Rfam family "Bacterial large subunit ribosomal RNA", at positions 2542 to 2912 of the family's 2925-position model. The record is from RNAcentral. Lineage: Eukaryota; Cryptophyceae; Cryptomonadales; Hemiselmidaceae.